This 471-nucleotide ribosomal RNA is filed under the name uncultured beta proteobacterium. Its description in RNAcentral is "bacterial SSU rRNA". It matches the Rfam family "Bacterial small subunit ribosomal RNA", at positions 1033 to 1504 of the family's 1533-position model. Lineage: Bacteria; Pseudomonadati; Pseudomonadota; Betaproteobacteria. The record is from RNAcentral.
CACAGGUGCUGCAUGGCUGUCGUCAGCUCGUGUCGUGAGAUGUUGGGUUAAGUCCCGCAACGAGCGCAACCCUUGUCAUUAGUUGCUACAUUUAGUUGGGCACUCUAAUGAGACUGCCGGUGACAAACCGGAGGAAGGUGGGGAUGACGUCAAGUCCUCAUGGCCCUUAUGGGUAGGGCCUCACACGUCAUACAAUGGCGCAUACAGAGGGUUGCCAACCCGCGAGGGGGAGCCAAUCCCAGAAAGUGCGUCGUAGUCCGGAUCGGAGUCUGCAACUCGACUCCGUGAAGUCGGAAUCGCUAGUAAUCGCGGAUCAGCAUGUCGCGGUGAAUACGUUCCCGGGUCUUGUACACACCGCCCGUCACACCAUGGGAGCGGGUUUCACCAGAAGUAGCUAGCCUAACCUGCAAAGGAGGGCGGUUACCACGGUGAGAUUCGUGACUGGGGUGAAGUCGUAACAAGGUAGCCGUA